AUCAUCUCUCACUGGCUCUCGCUGCGGGGCUUUGCGGGCCGGGUAAUCUGGCAGCCCUGAGGGAGCUAGUUCCAGACAAUCAAGAGGAAAAGAGGGGAAGCGAGAAAGGGACGGAGAUCGGCUAUGGUGGCCAACAAUCCUGCGAAGAGGGAACGGUGGUCCACGCAGGGAUUCAGUCUCCGAUCAAGCUCAGCAGGCGCCGGCCGGCCACGCCGAGUACGGGGCUUGCGGAGCCUGAGCUUACCUGGAACCCGCGAGCGCCGCGCGCAGCGCCGGCUCCAGCCAGUGCCUCUCUCUUCACACCUCCCCGCCAGCAGAGGGAGCCGGCUCCAGCCUCGGCCAGCCCCAGAGAGGGCCCCUCAUAGCGCAGCGGCGGGCUGAACGGCUCCUCAAGCGCGGCCAGAGCGGACGCCGAGGCUGAGGAGGCGCUGAGAGCCAGUAAGGGCUGCUGGCACGCUGUCACCUCUCACCGUGAGCAACAACUGCUGGUCCUGCCUUCAGGCUUUCCUUUGUCUUUCAGGUGGAGACGCGCUGACCUGCCCCAAUACCUAUUGUUGUUUGUUAAAUUACUCCAAGAUAGUUACAGUUAACGGCAAACACCCAUUUAUAAGCACAAAUCAUGUCAGAUGUUCAGGACCAGCACAAUCAAUCAAUCAAGUAAACAGCACCCUCCUUGAAUAUGUGGCAAGUGCGUGAGGAUUUCAUGAACCCGUCCUGCAUUUCCAAAUCCACCUGAGGCCUCUCCCUGGACACAGCCAAAGGCCCGACGGCCCAGCCCCCCCAGUGGCAGGUGGCCCUUCCAUGGCUGAGGUCACACACCCAGCAUCGCAUCCUGCUCUUCUCGGGGCCUCGGGCCCCUUCGGCUCAUCUCCAGGGAUUGCACUUGCUCCUGCUGCCCACAGAGGUUUCCUUCCUGUGAUUCCACUCGGAGGGGGCGCUUUUCUUUCCUGGCUUCAACCAUGACAGAGCUGCUUUGUGUUCGCCGGCAGCUGCCACGCUUCCUGAAAAGGCGGCUUCCGUUCUGCUGGAGAUAAACUGAUUUGCCUGGCAGCCAACUUAAACAAGGAGGCAAGAAAACAGCAUAGCCUGGGCUCCCCAAUACAUCUACGUGGAUUUGAUGGACACACAGCAGUUGGCAAAGGUUCUAAUCAUUGCUGUUUCCUACAGAGUGGAAAUGAGACGUUGCCAAGUUCCACACAACAAGGGUGGGCAUAGAUGUUGUUUGAAGUCGAAUCUCCAUCAGGCACACCCAUGACCUAGGACCUUUCCACUGUCUCCAGAAGUAGGAACAUUUCAGGAGCAUCAGGG
Long non-coding RNA from Symphalangus syndactylus (siamang), 1308 nucleotides. RefSeq lists it as uncharacterized. The record is from RefSeq and is a predicted model, not a curated record. Lineage: Eukaryota; Metazoa; Chordata; Mammalia; Primates; Hylobatidae.